GACGAACCGUCCUAACGUUAUUCGGAAUCACUGGGCUUAAAGGGCGCGUAGGCGGCCCUGCAAGUCGGGGGUGAAAUCCCACAGCUUAACUGUGGAAGUGCCUCCGAUACUGCGGGGCUCGAGCGAGGUAGGGGCAGCUGGAACUUCCGGUGGAGCGGUGAAAUGCGUUGAUAUCGGAAGGAACGCCGGUGGCGAAAGCGAGCUGCUGGACCCCUUCUGACGCUGAGGCGCGAAAGCCAGGGGAGCAAACGGG
This 253-nucleotide ribosomal RNA is filed under the name uncultured bacterium. RNAcentral's name for it is "partial 16S ribosomal RNA". It matches the Rfam family "Bacterial small subunit ribosomal RNA", at positions 524 to 776 of the family's 1533-position model. The record is from RNAcentral.